CUAGGUUUCCAUGGGGAAGAAAGCAUUAAACAAAAACAAAAACAGAAAAUCCAGGCAUGUCUUUAUAAGUCUUGCCCUAGAAGGACAACCAUCUUGGCAGGAAUAAAAGCACACUGAAGUAAGUCCUUAUUGGAAAUGAAAACAGCAACAUCACAGGAGCCCCAGAAGGGAGUAGCCGUGAGCAACCUCACCUCUGAUGAGGCAGGAGUCAUCAUGAUGGCUGCACCAAGAGCCCAGCCAAGGAGCCAGGAGUUGCUGGAUUUUUCCAGCAUCUCCUUCAAGUUUCUUACCAUUCUUGAUGAUGCCUGCUUCCUGGAAACUUUGGACGCCUUCCUGCUUGUCCUUGGAAGAACUCCAUAGAAGUUCGGUGGAGUAAGGCAGAAGGUGGGGAGCCAAGCUUUCCUCUGAUCUGUUGUUCCUUCUUCAUCCAUCAGUUGCUUUAAAAAGAUCCAUGUGCUGAAUCAAAAAUAUAGCUUCUAUGUUGUACCUGACUCAAACUCCAUAUGGAAAGCGCAGAACUUGUGUUUUCUCUUUUUCUUCUUUUAAUGUAUGAACACGAGGGAUCUUCAAGAAAUUCAUGAAAAAUAAGUAUCAUGGGGGCCAGCGCUGUGGCGCAGUGGGUUAACACACUGUCCUGAAGCACCAACAUCCCAUAUAGGCGCCAGUUCGAGACCUGGCUGCUCCACUUCUGAUCCAGCUCCCUGCUGUGGCCUGGGAAAGCAGUAGGUGGUCCAAGUCCUUGGGCCCCUGCACCUGCAUGGGAGACCUGGAGGAAGCUUCUGGCUCCUGGUUUUAGAUCAGCAUAGCUUGCGGCCCAUUGGGGAAUGAACCAGCGGAUGGAAGACCUUUCUCUCUCUCUCUCUCUGCCUCUCCUCUCUCUGUGUAACUCUAACUUUCAAAUAAAUAAUAAAUAAAUCUUUAAAAAAUAAGUAUC
RNAcentral lists this long non-coding RNA (934 nucleotides) under Oryctolagus cuniculus (rabbit). Its description in RNAcentral is "lncRNA (ENSOCUG00000033741.1)". Lineage: Eukaryota; Metazoa; Chordata; Mammalia; Lagomorpha; Leporidae. The record is from RNAcentral.